This 326-nucleotide ribosomal RNA is filed under the name Corbicula sp. Muj1b. Its description in RNAcentral is "partial 28S ribosomal RNA". Lineage: Eukaryota; Metazoa; Mollusca; Bivalvia; Venerida; Cyrenidae. The record is from RNAcentral.
CCGGCCGCCCGCGGCGCUCGCAAAGUUCGGAUCCGCAAGGACCGGGCCAGCGGGACGUCCGCGUGGCAGGGUGCACUUUCUCCGCGGUCGAGUGCUACGACCGGUUUCGCGGCGGUCAGAAGCCCGGCGGAAAGGUAGCGCCGCCCCUCGGGGUGUCGUGUUAUAGGCCGCCGCGGUGGACUCGCCGCGAGACCGAGGACGCUUGCCGCGCCGAGCGGUCCCGGGCCGUCUUGGGUGGUUCGACCUCGGCUGCACUGCUCCGCAGAGCACCGUAACCGCCGCCCUAGCACGGGUCCGGAGACUGCCGGCGCCUCGGGUCAGUAGCG